CCUACGGGAGGCUGCAGUGGGGAAUAUUGGACAAUGGGGGGAACCCUGAUCCAGCCAUGCCGCGUGUGUGAAGAAGGCCCUCGGGUUGUAAAGCACUUUCAGUGAGGAAGAACGCCUGGUGGUUAAUACCCAUCAGUAAAGACAUCACUCACAGAAGAAGCACCGGCUAACUCCGUGCCAGCAGCCGCGGUAAUACGGAGGGUGCGAGCGUUAAUCGGAAUUACUGGGCGUAAAGCGCGCGUAGGUGGCUUGAUAAGCCGGUUGUGAAAGCCCCGGGCUCAACCUGGGAACGGCAUCCGGAACUGUCAAGCUAGAGUGCAGGAGAGGAAGGUAGAAUUCCCGGUGUAGCGGUGAAAUGCGUAGAGAUCGGGAGGAAUACCAGUGGCGAAGGCGGCCUUCUGGACUGACACUGACACUGAGGUGCGAAAGCGUGGGUAGCAAACAGGAUUAGAUACCCUUGUAGUC
Molecule: ribosomal RNA, 465 nt
Filed under: Vreelandella stevensii
Lineage: Bacteria; Pseudomonadati; Pseudomonadota; Gammaproteobacteria; Oceanospirillales; Halomonadaceae
Description: partial 16S ribosomal RNA
Rfam family: Bacterial small subunit ribosomal RNA
Source: RNAcentral